UCCGGUUUGUUACCGGCAGUCACCUUAGAGUGCCCAACUAAAUGCUGGCAACUAAGAUCAAGGGUUGCGCUCGUUGCGGGACUUAACCCAACAUCUCACGACACGAGCUGACGACAACCAUGCACCACCUGUCACUUUGUCCCCCGAAGGGGAAAGCCCUAUCUCUAGGGUGGUCAAAGGAUGUCAAGACCUGGUAAGGUUCUUCGCGUUGCUUCGAAUUAAACCACAUGCUCCACUGCUUGUGCGGGCCCCCGUCAAUUCCUUUGAGUUUCAGCCUUGCGGCCGUACUCCCCAGGCGGGGCACUUAAUGCGUUAGCGCCGGCCCUCGGGGGGUCGCUCCCCCAAGCGCCUAGUGCCCAUCGUUUACGGCGUGGACUAC
This 379-nucleotide unclassified non-coding RNA is filed under the name uncultured Bacilli bacterium. RNAcentral describes it as "contains 16S-23S intergenic spacer region". Lineage: Bacteria; Bacillati; Bacillota; Bacilli. The record is from RNAcentral.